Non-coding RNA from Alicyclobacillus acidoterrestris ATCC 49025, 82 nucleotides. Lineage: Bacteria; Bacillati; Bacillota; Bacilli; Caryophanales; Alicyclobacillaceae. The record is from Rfam.
GUCGAAGUGGCGGAAUCGGCAGACGCGCACGUUUGAGGGGCGUGUGGGGAAACCCGUGCGGGUUCAAGUCCCGCCUUCGACA